Vidua chalybeata is the source of this 3593-nucleotide long non-coding RNA. RefSeq lists it as uncharacterized. Lineage: Eukaryota; Metazoa; Chordata; Aves; Passeriformes; Viduidae. The transcript is spliced from 3 exons. The record is from RefSeq and is a predicted model, not a curated record.
AGCCCUGCCAGCCUGCUGCUCCCUGUGAGGGACACACGGGGCAGCCAUGGCCCUGCCAGCCCGCUGCUCCCUGUGAGGGACACACGGGCCUGCCAUGGCCCUGCCAGCCCGCUGCUUGUGAGGGGACACACGGGGCAGCCAUGGCUCAGCCUGCUGCUCCCUGUGAGGGGACACACGGGGCAGCCAUGGCCCUGCCAGCCUGCUGCUCCCUGUGAGGGGACACACGGGGCAGCCAUGGUCCUGCCAGCCUGCCAUGGCCCUGCCAGCCUGCUGCUCCCUGUGAGGGACACACGGGGCAGCCAUGGCCCUGCCAGCCUGCCAUGGCCCUGCCAGCCUGCUGCCCUUGAGGGACAUACGGGGCAGCCAUGGCCCUGCCAGCCUGCCAUGGCCCUGCCAGCCUGCUCCCUGUGAGGGACACACACAUGGGGGGCUGCCAUGCCCUGGCCUGCACAGCGCGGGGAGAUGGGGCUGCUCGAACACCCCAGAGCUCCUCAGCACCCCCAGAGCUCCUCACACACCCCAGAGCUCCUCAGAACCCCAGAGCUCCUCACACACCCCAGAGCUCCUCAGCACCCCCAGAGCUCCUCAGAACCCCAGAGCUCCUCACACACCCCAGAGCUCCUCAGAACCCCAGAGCUCCUCACACACCCCAGAGCUCCUCACACACCCCAGAGCUCCUCACACAUCCCAGAGCUCCUCACACACCACAGAGCUCCUCAGAACCCCAGAGCUCCUCACACACCCCAGAGCUCCUCAGAACCCCAGAGCUCCUCACACACCCCAGAGCUCCUCAGAACCCCAGAGCUCCUCAGCACCCAGAGCAGCUCUGUGGCGCCUGCAGAUUCUCAGGCAAGGGGCAGCAGGGCAGGUUGUGGCAGGACAAGUGGGGACAUUGCUAUUGAUAGCAAAGGGGUCUAAGCCCACAUCAGCCAAUCUGAUAAAUCUCAGGCUUCCCCAGCUCCAUCUCCCUGGGCCCAGAGCACCAAGCAGGAGCGCUGCCUCCUCGGGCUGCUGCAGCCUGGAAAGCUCUGGAGUGACAUGUCCCAGGCUGACCUGGAGCAGAGUUAACUGGAUGAAUUUGUCUCCCUGUGUUCUGUAGGAUCCCCAGCCUGCUCUAAAAAAAAAAAAAAAAAAAGCUGGAAGGAGUGGAUGGAUAGAAACAGAAAGCACAUCGAGGCUCAGCUCAGCAGAUCUGUCUUUGUGCUGUCUCCUUCCAGUUCUCAUCUGCUGCCUGCUGAGCUGACAAGAGGUGCACUCCAGCUCGACUUUUUUUUUCCUUUUGCCUCCUGUUGUCUUCACAGAAUUUUAGAAUAUGCUGCCAGAUGCUCAUUCAUGCCAGAGCAGGAUGAGUAAUAGUUUCUACAUUCCGAAAUGAGCCCCUCUGAUUCAUGGUAUGUGCAAGUCAUUUUCUGCAAACACCAAGGGAAUCAAAGUUCCUCCUGGGCCCCCUGUAGAAAGAUGAACAUGCCAGCAAAACCCUGAUUGGGAAUGUGGGCAAAUAAUGCUGGUUUGUGUGUUUGCUCUUUGCCUGCAGUUCUUCCUCUCUGAGCAAAGCCCAUCAGCAUUUCCAUGGAUAUUACAUCCAUUAUCAUAAUGAGGAGGAGGUAAAUCUUGCUCACCAUCUCCUUGCUAAUUCUGCCCUGACUGUGCUGCUGUAAUCUCCUCCAGAUUGCGUCUUCUUCAGAGAUUCAAGAGCUGGAGCUAUGAGAUCAUGGCCAAGGAAGCUCCAGCAUCCCCAUUUUUGGCCAAAUCUGCUGAAAUAUGGGAUGGGAGAGAGGGAACGAGAGACUCAAGACAAUUCGAGAGGGAAUUUUGGCUUCAUGUGGAGGGAUGAGCAGAGGCAAAGUACUUCAGGAGGUAGGAAUUUCUGAACCCCAACCAGGGAACCUCACACACCUGGACUCCACUCACGGCUCCAGCGCAGGAAAGCAGUGGGAGGAAGAGCAUGAAAAGCCACAACAGAGAGUCCAUGGGCUGAUCCAGAAGACAAAUGCACAUAAUGUUUUAAACUUGCACAGAAAUGUAACAUUAACUUCUCUUCCCCUUAUACUUGCCCUGGUCCAUGAUAAAGACACCUUGUUUCCCCAGCAGGGACUCUCCAGACAUGGUGGCACUCAGCUGGAAGGAUGAUCUGGCAAAAUUCUGUGUCCAAAAGUGCUAAAAUGAGCAUUUAGUGCCAGCUCUGCCAUCAGUCCAGGAACAGCUGCUGAAACUGCUCCAGUGAGCCAGUCCCUGAGGCUUAGACAGGACAACAGAGCCUUCACCUGGACAAGAGGAGGCACGGAAUGCCCCUGCCCCUGCUCACGGUGCAGAGCUGACACUCUCAUCCUCUGAAAACACCAACAUGUCUUUGUUCAGAGCUUUGUAACUGCAAGGGCUGCUUUACAAUCAUUUCCACACCCUGUAAGUGGUGACUUUAAGCCAUGUAGGAGUUUUUUCCAUCUUUCUGUGCUGCAUUUUUGUCCCAUCAGAGCCUGGUGCUCAGCUUCUGCAUUUAUUAAAGCACCAAUUUGUGUGCCUGCAGCAAAGGGGGAGUGAGUGCUGCAAAGCCAGGGCUGCUCUGACUUGGAAGAACUUUUCAGAUGUAAGAUUUGGGUGCAGGACAGGCAUUUAGAGGCAAAACUCUCCCAAGUGCCACAGAUCUGCACUGACUGCACCGGAUAUUUUUGAGUUAACUGCAAAUAUUGUUGCCAGGAUCAGUCUCACAGAACUUGCAGACUUGCCAUAGGAGGCUGAUCAGCAAAAGAAAAUCUGUCGAAGUCACUGAUGGUUAUUUUUGGUUAUUUUCUGCUUUGAACCUGCCUUGCUGCACACCUGGGGUCUGAGAUUUCUGUGAGGACGUUCCACAGUAGCAGGAAGGCAGAAGCUGCAGAGCCCCAGAGCCCCAGCCCAGCCCGGCAGCUCUGGGGUGGAUUUGGGAGAGCAGAGCCUGGUGCUGUUCUGACUUGUGCAGCAGCCACCCGGCCCAGGAAAGCCUCAGGAUCAGAAAUAUGCAAAAAUCCUGCAACUGUAUUGCCUUUGCUCUGCCAGCCCUGAAAACACAGCCCCCAGUUAUGCUUUCCGUGCUGGAAAACCCCAAAACCGCAGCGCACGAGGAGCAGCGGAGCCGCUGGGAUGAAUUAAAGGAGGUUUUAUUUUAUCCCUCGCAGACCUCUCGGGGCUGGGGGAGCCGGGGGGCACAGAGCUCGAUUUGGGAAGGGUUCAAGCACCUCACAACGUUUGCUGAGCACUCCACACCAUCCCAGCCCAAUCCAGACCAUGGGGCUCUGGGAAUGUCCCUCCAGGUGGGCGAUGCCAACCACCCGGAAUUGUCAUCCCCCAGAAAUCCAAAUUACACCCAUUGUGGAGCAGGAGAGAAACCUGCUGCUUCCAAUCCUCCUGAAUUCCUUGGGUUUAAUUAUCUUACUUGUUCACUUCUGGGAAAAAAAAAAAAUCUAGCUCAUAAAGUUACUUCAGGUCUGUGUUUGAAACAAUCCCAGAAAGAAAUGAAUCAAUAUAAAACCCAAACUUAGAGAGGCAUUUUGGGUUUCUUUGAUUCUUCAAGCCUGGAACAAUUCAGGAAAUUUGCAUAAAUUAUUUUAAUAAAAUUUCCA